CUGGGUGUCGUCGUUUUCUCCGAGAGCUGCCUCUCAUCCUUCGGGGUGCAUUGCCUGUAGCGUUCUGUGUAGCGUUGUUCUGUGUGUGUCUUGGAGCCGCCCUGCCCGGGGAUGGAGAGUCAGGGCAAGGUGGGUGGUGCUGGCAUCUAGGGAUGCGCCCAGGCUUUGAGCGGGGAGGAGUUUUGCAGCCGUCUUGGAUCAAGUGGCUGUUGUCGGUGGGUGAGGGAAGUAAAUCCUGUUGGGUUUUGUGGGCUGGCCCCCAGGGAACAACCGUAGGUGUCUGGGAGAGGGAGCUGGAGUCUUAGCUGAGCAGGUAGCAUGUCAAGGGUGUUGUGGUUUGUCUGUGUGCUGGGCUUAAUGUUUGAUGUAUUGUGCUUAUGUUUAGGAGCCGCCCUAGUUGGGCUCUCAAGGGGGUGUUCCUACAUGCGAUCGAGACCCGUGUCGUGGUUAAGCUGUGGCCGUGCAUGCAGGUGACUUGUUUGACAUCGGUUUGGCAGGUGCCGAGGGAGGAGUCGUGCAGGGUGAUGGAGGGCGGCGCUGUCAGCAGGAGCCGAGCGGGAUCUGGGCACUGGAGGGGAAUCGCACAGGGUGGUGGGCGAGCCUCCAGAGGGCCACUGGAUCUGAUGGAGGCCGGGCAGGUGAGCUGUCGAGGAACAGGUGCCGCCCGCAGGCUUCGGAGGGGAGACGCCGC
This is a non-coding RNA of Phalacrocorax carbo (great cormorant), 691 nucleotides long. The record is from RefSeq and is a predicted model, not a curated record. Lineage: Eukaryota; Metazoa; Chordata; Aves; Suliformes; Phalacrocoracidae.